Non-coding RNA from Oryzias latipes (Japanese medaka), 1800 nucleotides. Lineage: Eukaryota; Metazoa; Chordata; Actinopteri; Beloniformes; Adrianichthyidae. The record is from RefSeq and is a predicted model, not a curated record.
GACACUUCACCAGUGCAGGUUGGUGACUGGGUGUUUGUGAAGGCCAUAAAAAGGAAGUGUUGGUCCAGCCCACGGUGGGAAGGGCCAUUCCAAGUCCUGCUGACUACACCAACAGCCGUCAAGAUUGCUGAAAGGACGUCUUGGAUCCACCUGUCACACUGCAAGAAAAAGCAUCUGGGAGCCACCACGUGGAUUUGGUUCUUUUGGAAUCGUUAUCCACCUACAAGAAGAACCACCAACGAGGAAAGACUAAAUGUUUCUCGACGAUGGCUGAGUAUUGAUGAACAUGAUGUUUUGAAUAGUCCAAAAAUGAACAUAGCUCACCUGUAUAUGACAAAUUCUUGGUAUAGGUAUGUUAUGUUACUGGCUAAGGAAAUGCAUAGAUCUGAUUGCUAUGUUGUUCUGUAAUUCCAACUUCAUCCCUACAUCCUAAUUUGCAGGCAAAGCAAUUUUCUGAGUGGAAAAGCGACUGUGUUAUUGAAUAUAGUACCAGAGGGUAUAUUAGUACUGGAGCCGUCACCACUUCAAAUGGAACUCUUGUAAGACCGAGUUGUAAGAGUUUGUAUCAGUUUAAAAAACUGAAAUUGACAAAAUCAUUAGCUCCAUAUGUUAGUGUGGAACCAGGAACUGUGUUUCCACAUUGCGUAACUAAAAAUGGCACAGAGUUUUUAGGAACUUUGCCGAUAAAGAUGUGUCAUGAACUUCUUGUUCCCUUCACAGUCCAGAUAAUCAAUGACAGAGUUUCCCAUGGUUAUGCUGUUCCCUGCCCCAGAGGACGUUGUGUUAGAUCUAAUCCAGAUUUAAUUCCAGGUAACAAUGGUACUUAUGUGGUUCAUCAAAUGUUUUGGUUAUGUGGGCAGGCCCUCUACCUCAGUCUGCCUAGAGACUGGAGUGGGAUUUGUGUUUCUGUAAAGGUCACAGGUCACACUUUCAUAGUUUCUGCAGUCCAUGAGCCUCACCUGAGCCACAGACGUAACCUUAUUGAUGUCAAGCCACAUGAUUCCAUUUGGGGAUCACAUGUACCUGAAGACCAUAAACACUGGAAUACUGGGGAAAAGGUAACUAUGGCAUUGUUUCCCUAGGUGGGAAAUGCUAAAAACACUUUCAGAAUUGAGACCAUUGAUUAUCGAUUAGGUUUAUUUUUGAUUAUUUUUGAACGCUACAAUUAAAGCAUUUAAAGGCUAUAAUGAAGAAAUGUCAAGCAUGAGACUUAUGGUUCUACAGAACAGAUUGGUUUUGGACUUAUUGGUUGCUCAGGAGGGAGGUGUUUGUAAAAUGUUAAAUGACACCUGUUGUACAUUUAUUCCUGACAACAUCGAUGAAGGUCACAGCAUCACCGAAGCAUUACAUCAACUUGAAACGGUUCAGCAGGCAAUUCAGGAUGACAGGAAACCCCAAUCUUGGGAUUUCUUCUCCUGGUUUGCUUUUGGUUCCUGGUAGCAACUUUGUUAAAAAUAGUGACACCUAUUCUUAUGGUACUGAUCAUAUGUUGUGUAUUCACUAUGUGCAUUUUUCCUUGUAUUCAAUCUAUGAUUUCCAGAGCAGUGAAUGGUGGAGUACAGAGUGUUCUUCUGAGUCAAGAAUACAACUUGUUAUUGAAGGGAGAACAAGAUGACUGUAAUGAUUUUGAAAUUGAAAUGACUUGAGAAAAAACAAAAAAAACAAAAAAACUUCUCAUCUGAGUGUAAAUUGAAAGUGUUAUGAAAAUGAAGAUGUCACAGAAAACUGAAAAGAGAUGUGAUAUUGGAUGUGAGAUUUUGACAUUUAUCAAUGAUAAACAGGUGGGAGUAUGUGAAGGAA